ACUUUUCUCGCGCUGGUCUCUUCGGUGCUGAGGGAUGGCGCGGAAGUCGAACUUGCCUGUGCGUCUCGUGCCGUUUCUGCUCUGCCAGGCCCUAGUGCGCUGCUCCAGCCCUCUGCCCCUGGUCGUCAACACUUGGCCUUUUAAGAAUGCAACCGAAGCAGCGUGGAGGGCAUUAGCAUCUGGAGGCUCUGCCCUGGAUGCAGUGGAGAGCGGCUGUGCCAUGUGUGAGAGAGAGCAGUGUGACGGCUCUGUAGGCUUUGGAGGAAGUCCUGAUGAGCUUGGAGAAACCACACUAGAUGCCAUGAUCAUGGAUGGCCACCACAUUUGCUCAAAGUAUGGGGUUUAUCAAUGAAGACUUAUCUACCAGUGCUUCUCAAGCUCUUCAUUCAGAUUGGCUUGCUCGGAAUUGCCAGCCAAAUUAUUGGAGGAAUGUUAUACCAGAUCCCUCAAAAUACUGCGGACCCUACAAACCACCUGGUAUCUUAAAGCAGGAUAUUCCUAUCCAUAAAGAAACAGAAGAUGAUCGUGGUCAUGACACUAUUGGUAAUUUGCCUUUUGUGCAGUUUUUAUGGAUAAAGUUUAGUUAAUUAUCUUCCUGUAGCUCUUCCCUAUUCUUCUACCAGAAGUUGAUUUUGAUUGUUUUAAUGCCAAUUAAGUGUGCCUCUCUAUAGAUAGAUCCAUCUUGUCUUAGGAUCUGUAUAAAAUUUGGGAAAUUAUUUAUACAAGACACCUAAAACCCAAUGACUAUUCACUUGCGGAUUUUUAAAUCUUUAUUUGACAUUUCAUUUUUUGGCAGUUUUAUGUUGCUGUAUUUUAGUGACCUUAAAUAACUUUUUCCAAGUUACAAUGUUGAAAAUUUACAUUAGUCUAUGUCUUAGU
RNAcentral lists this small RNA (879 nucleotides) under Pan troglodytes (chimpanzee). RNAcentral describes it as "retained intron". Lineage: Eukaryota; Metazoa; Chordata; Mammalia; Primates; Hominidae. The record is from RNAcentral.